AUCAUGGCAAUUGAGUAAUUUUCACAAUCUGGCAUUAAAGCAAUAUGUACACAGAGAAUACAAUAUUUCAUUACACAGGAAUUGUUCAACACAUAGGAGCACAUCUGGUACUGUCCUAACAAUGUCUACAUAAUUUGCCUUAUCUCACUACUACAUAACAUUGUUGAACACGUAGGAGCACAUCUGGUACUGGCCUAACAAUGUCUUCAUUGCUCGAACUUGCCUUCCUACAAGAACAGAACAUUACAUGAAUAGAUCAAUCGAGAAGGAAACAGUAAAACAGGCUGAAAGCAUCACACAUACAAAUAAUAACAGCAUACAUUAAUGUAUAAAAUAAUAAAAAAUAUCUAUAACCAAGGCUAUUUCUAGCCAACCCGUGUGCAUGAAUCAUAAUAGAUCAAGCAAAAGACGUAUAAUCAUCAGCAAACAGCAAAUAUUAGUGAAAGGGGACAAUUUCUAGUACUCAUCAUUUUUGCAAAGUGAGCAAGAACGAUGAUAUUUUCCUACACAUACUUUCUGAUUUUUCCUUAGUCCUAUAGUGAUCUGCUCACUCCAAUUCUAUCUACUCAACCCAUUCACAUGCAACAUGGAUAAUCAACUAGCCUCAUCAUUUGAAGAAUCUAGUCAAAUAAGGAAUUAGAAUGCAACAUGGAUAACUAUGCCCUAUGAAACAGUUCACGUAUCAAGAACCAUCAAAGUAAAUAAGGAACUGGUAUAGAACACCAACUCGAUCACCUUCACAACAAUGAAAUCAUGGAUAAUUCUUAUAUUUAAUUGAAGUUCUCUAAGCUUCUUCCCCCAUUGAAAGCAGUCCACAAAAUAAUUGAGAAGAAGGUCAGUGCCAAAAUUCAAACCAUAUAAUUUCUUGCUAAUCUCAUAUACUGUUAAAGAUGUAUUUUGUUGUAAGAUUUUAGCGCUAGUACACAAGACAUAAAAAGGUACCAAAAAUCCUUAGUGAUCUGAAGCAGCAAACAAAAUUUAAACACAGGCAAUGCAUGCCAUAGUAAUAGCAGCACAAACAGAGAAAUGCAAAAGGCACCUCAUACUAGUAUGGUGAUCUUCGUCGCAAAUUUUAAGCUCUGUUUCAUGUAGAUAAUUUAUUUGGUUUCAGUAAACAACAGGAUGUAGUAUAUAUGAAGGGUUAUUGGUUGCAUAACACCUGAACUAAUCCUCCAUCUAGGGGGGAUUGCAACAGGUUCCUAUAGUACACUAGAUAGGCCAACAUUUUAGACUACUAGUAC
RNAcentral lists this long non-coding RNA (1241 nucleotides) under Triticum aestivum (bread wheat). RNAcentral describes it as "long non-coding RNA (TAES_LNC003142)". Lineage: Eukaryota; Viridiplantae; Streptophyta; Magnoliopsida; Poales; Poaceae. The record is from RNAcentral.